RNAcentral lists this ribosomal RNA (253 nucleotides) under uncultured bacterium. Its description in RNAcentral is "partial 16S ribosomal RNA". It matches the Rfam family "Bacterial small subunit ribosomal RNA", at positions 524 to 776 of the family's 1533-position model. The record is from RNAcentral. RNAcentral also lists the same sequence under 2 other names.
UACGUAGGGGGCAAGCGUUAUCCGGAUUUACUGGGUGUAAAGGGAGCGUAGGUGGUUUGGUAAGUCAGGUGUGAAAGCCCGGGGCUCAACUCCGGGAUUGCACUUGAAACUAUCAAACUAGAGUGCAGGAGAGGUAAGUGGAAUUCCUAGUGUAGCGGUGAAAUGCGUAGAUAUUAGGAGGAACACCAGUGGCGAAGGCGGCUUACUGGACUGUAACUGACACUGAGGCUCGAAAGCGUGGGGAGCAAACAGG